Molecule: ribosomal RNA, 774 nt
Filed under: uncultured Neocallimastigales
Lineage: Eukaryota; Fungi; Neocallimastigomycota; Neocallimastigomycetes; Neocallimastigales
Description: partial large subunit ribosomal RNA
Rfam family: Eukaryotic large subunit ribosomal RNA
Source: RNAcentral
CGAGCACGCGCGUGUGGCAUAUCAAUAAGCGGAGGAAAAGAAACUAACAAGGAUUCCCUUAGUAACGGCGAGUGAAGCGGGAAGAGCUCAAAUUUGAAAUCUUCAAGGUUCUACCUUGACGAAUUGUAGUUUAUAGAAGUGUUUUCUGUUAGUGGAGUGGCAAAAGUUCUUUGGAAUAGGACAUCAUAGAGGGUGAGAAUCCCGUAUUUGAUCACUUUCUACUAACGUUGUGAUACACUUUCAACGAGUCGGAUUGUUUGGGAAUGCAGUCCAAAAUGGGUGGUAAAUUUCAUCUAAAGCUAAAUAUUGGCGAGAGACCGAUAGCGAACAAGUACCGUGAGGGAAAGAUGAAAAGAACUUUGAAAAGAGAGUUAAACAGUACGUGAAAUUGUCAAAAGGGAAGCGUUUGACACCAGUGUUGUUUUUCCGAAAAUCAAUUACGAAUGUUUUGUUUUUGAGGAGUUAUGACUUCAUCGGCUUGCUUCUCUCUUUACGAAACUUUCUUAAUGCACUUUUCGGUUAACAAGUCAACAUCAAUUUCUUUUGUUGUAAAAGGGUACGAGGAAGGUGGCUUUCUUUUCGGAGAAAGUGUUUAUAGCCUUGUACCUCUGCAAUCGGAGAGAUUGAGGUCUGCAGCGUAGAUCCUUCGGGGUUAGAUACAUUUGUGCUAAGUUAUAGCUUUUCAUAGACAACUUGUUGACUAUGUUAGUCUUGUAGCUUACUCGCUGAUGCUAUUUUACCUACGCUUAGGAUGUUGAGCGCAUGUCUCUCUCU